AUUGCAUAUGUAAACAGACUUCUAUGGAAUAUAUGUAAAUGAUUUUAUUCAAUAGAGACAAAGUUUUUCCAUUGCAUUUCCGCCUGAUUUGCGCCUUACCAAAGUCUCUGCUGUUGUUGUUGCAGUUGUUGCUGUUAGCCUGGAGCACAUAAAAUUCAUUUAAUUACGCAAAUGUAUGCAUGUUCAUGCAACUCCUGCACUCGUUAAUUUUGAGCGUACAUGAAAUCCGACACAAGAUAUUGGAGUACAUGAGUACAUGAGGAACAGAGGCUGGCUGCAUCGAUAAACUGCACUCAGGUCAAGCUGUUGCCGCUGCUGGCAGCAACUGCAGCAGACGCAUGCCACAGGCUGCGGCUUUUUGGGAGCAGGCAUCGGCUCGUGUAUUUGUAGUUCAUAAAUUGAAUGGCUCGCUGGACCGGGAAGCAACUGUGUGUGGUUUAUGGCCCGAUGGCCCGAUGGAGGUCAUCGCAGUGCUGGAACCUUGGCAAUAAUCAUAAUUCCUGAGCUGGACUUUCACAUUGUGCCGCAUCGCAAAAAGCAGGUUGCAUCAUUUUCCACACCUAAAAAGAUGAGCGCGCAAAAUCAAUCAUAAUUAAACACAAACACAAACAAAAAACCAAGUCAAGGUUAACCAGCAGACGGAAGGUAGAUCACGGCUGGGUCGGGCAGGUUCUUCUCAAAUGCAUUUGCAGCUCAUUAAAAACGCACAAGUGCAGCGCGCAGCAGAGCGCGAGUGCGAGACGAUCGGCAGCUGAGCGCAUGUUGCUAUCUCGCUCUGACAAAGGUGAGUCUCUUACCUUUUAGUUUUUUUUUUUUUUUAUGGCUGCUUUUGUAGAUGAGUUGACCUUGGUGUGAAUUUUAAGCGGAAAUAUUAUAUUGAGCAGACGGUUUUUUACGAUCUUUUUAUGGCGUUUGCAAAAAAUGAAAAAAAGAAAAAAAAAAUGGAAAUACAACUAAAAAGUAUAUUCCCGCCGCGUUUCACGGCGCGUAGCAAACUGUUUUGGAUUUGGUUUUUUAGCUGCAACCUCUGGAAAUUUAUGAUUUAUGAUGAUGCCCGUGACCCUUUAGCCAACAGGCAAAGAUCAGGCAUCGGACACAGGAUCGGCUGAGGGAUCGCCGACUGCUGUUUUGUAAACACUCAGUAUGAAUCCCAGUACCCGCUCGCUUGGACGUGGCGCAUUAACUACAGAAUAAACGCGACGGCACUGCAGAAAUACCGAAAUGAGUUAAAUUCGUUAAGUUGUGCAGAAAAUAUGAAAAAUAUUAAAAAACACAUGGCGAGAAGUGCAUAAAAAACGAAUGCGAGAAAUGUUUCUGUUGUGCAUAUGCAAUGCAUCUAUAUCUGUAUAUAUAUGGGCACAGUGUAGUGUGUGUGAGUGUGUAUGUGAAAAUAAUUAUAUAAAAAAAACUGCAAAAGUUGAAAGUCUGUUUACUACAAGGCCUGUUUGGCGGGCACAUACUUUUUUGAGACGGCACACAUGCACACAUGCACACAGGACAGAUGUGAGUGGAGUUUUACUCUGGACGACAGAAAAAAUUUACAACAUAUGAGCAUUAAAAAUUCGAAAUGCGUUUAGGCCAAAAGAAGCUGCUCCCAGGCUGUAAAUCAGGGCCCCAACGAGCUGUGGCAUUGCGCGCAUAGCUCAUCAAGAUGCUGGCCAAAUCCGCAGUCAAAACAAAUCGUUAAAAUGCCAUAAAAAGUCCAUAUGCAGCCGGCAUGGGCAGCGGCAGAGGAGAGGCUGGCUGGCUGGAGGAGGCAAAUGCAUUCAAAUAAAAUUUUACCACCGUUUCCUCAAACAUCAUCAACAUCAAACUAACGGCAGCAACAUCCGAGCCACCUCAUAAAAGUAACGAUGUCUAUGUCUAUGGAAAAAAAGAGCAUCUGAUGGAUGCAAACAUCGCAAUCACAGCCUCCGCUGAGCAGUUUGAGGGGUAUCAAAAUAAUUAUGGCAUACGUCACGGAACUUGGCUUUUAUGUCUUUUAUAUUGAUUGUCAUCAUGUCACACUAACAGAUCGUAAAAAAGUCGUAAAACCCAACUCUCGAGUGCAAAAGCAAAUGAACGCCCCAGCGAGUCGCAACUGCACUCAAACAGGAUCAGGAUGCUGGCAAAUGACUCGGUCAGAGUCUCAGGACACUUCAACCCCUGACCCAAAGGAUCCUCGUCGAGUGAGUGAGUGAGUUAGUGACUGAGCUGAGCCGAGCUGAGCUGAGCUGAGUGAGUGAGCGGAUUUGGCAGCGCAUCGGCCCAAGUGGCGUCAAGUCGUAAAAAGAACAUAAAAUUCGGGCCAGGCGCUUGUAUUAACCGCAAUUUGUUUAUAUAGUUGUUAAAAUGCCAUUUCGGCUUGUUGUGCUAUUCUGCUUGGCAUUUAAUUGUCGGCUGCCGCCUGUAUUUCUUUUUACGACCACACAAAGUGGGCAAACCUAAUAAAAUUUAUUUUUACGACAAUUUAAAUGGUCUCUCUUCGAAUACGCCGAGAGUACCGCCUGACACAGAGCUGACAACAGGUUGUCGCUGCUCGACCAUUUGUUUUUCAAUAAUUCCGAGAUUAUAUAAUAAUGAUAUACUUAAGCUAAUCCGUGAACGCAUAACAUAAUUUAAGAGCCCAUCAAAUGGGCCAAGUAGGAAAAAAGAUGAAGCAGUAAAAAAAAUAAAAUAUUCCUUA
Long non-coding RNA from Drosophila mojavensis, 2665 nucleotides. RefSeq lists it as uncharacterized. NCBI's taxonomy places the organism in Eukaryota, Metazoa, Arthropoda, Insecta, Diptera, Drosophilidae. The record is from RefSeq and is a predicted model, not a curated record. The transcript has 3 exons.